Molecule: ribosomal RNA, 428 nt
Filed under: uncultured bacterium
Lineage: Bacteria
Description: bacterial SSU rRNA
Rfam family: Bacterial small subunit ribosomal RNA
Source: RNAcentral
UGAGGAAUUUUGCGCAAUGGCCGCAAGGCUGACGCAGCAACGCCGCGUGGGUGAUGAAGGCCUUCGGGUCGUAAAGCCCUGUCAGGUGGGAAGAAAGGCCUGGAGAGGAAAGGUUUCAGGUUUGACGGUACCACCAGAGGAAGCACCGGCUAACUCCGUGCCAGCAGCCGCGGUAAUACGGAGGGUGCGAGCGUUAUUCGGAAUUACUGGGCGUAAAGCGCGUGUAGGCGGGGGGACAAGUCUGAUGUGAAAGCCCUGGGCUUAACCUGGGAAGCGCAUUGGAAACUGUGUGACUUGAGUACUGGAGAGGAAGGGGGAAUGCCCGGUGUAGAGGUGAAAUUCGUAGAGAUCGGGAGGAAGACCAGUGGCGUAGGCGCGCUUCUGGACGGUAACUGACGCUGAGACGCGAAAGCGUGGGGAGCAAACAG